GUUCUUAAUUCUCCAUAAUAAUUAUACAAAAGGAUAAAAUAAAUGUUUUAAUGUUUUGGUUUAAUUGUAGCAGCCUUUUUAGGACCUUUCUAGGACCAACAACAUUUCAGGACUAUCAUCACAGUGAACUACCUAACUUUAGUCUUGAAAGUAUUACUAGAACCACCGUAAUCUUAGUGCACUUCAGCUUGCUGAUGUUGAAGUGCCUUAGGCAUUAACUGUGUGUUCCCUUUUCACUCUUUAUAAAACUGAAAAUUUUGAGAUAAAU
This is a non-coding RNA of Pelobates cultripes (western spadefoot toad), 268 nucleotides long. The record is from the annotation of a GenBank genome assembly. Lineage: Eukaryota; Metazoa; Chordata; Amphibia; Anura; Pelobatidae.